CCUACGGGCGGCUGCAGUGGGGAAUAUUGGACAAUGGGGGCAACCCUGAUCCAGCCAUGCCGCGUGUGUGAAGAAGGCCCUCGGGUUGUAAAGCACUUUCAGUGAGGAAGAACGCCUGGUGGUUAAUACCCAUCAGGAAAGACAUCACUCACAGAAGAAGCACCGGCUAACUCCGUGCCAGCAGCCGCGGUAAUACGGAGGGUGCGAGCGUUAAUCGGAAUUACUGGGCGUAAAGCGCGCGUAGGUGGCUUGAUAAGCCGGUUGUGAAAGCCCCGGGCUCAACCUGGGAACGGCAUCCGGAACUGUCAAGCUAGAGUGCAGGAGAGGAAGGUAGAAUUCCCGGUGUAGCGGUGAAAUGCGUAGAGAUCGGGAGGAAUACCAGUGGCGAAGGCGGCCUUCUGAGCUGACACUGACACUGAGGUGCGAAAGCGUGGGUAGCAAACAGGAUUAGAUACCCUGGUAGUC
RNAcentral lists this ribosomal RNA (465 nucleotides) under Vreelandella stevensii. RNAcentral describes it as "partial 16S ribosomal RNA". It matches the Rfam family "Bacterial small subunit ribosomal RNA", at positions 338 to 795 of the family's 1533-position model. Lineage: Bacteria; Pseudomonadati; Pseudomonadota; Gammaproteobacteria; Oceanospirillales; Halomonadaceae. The record is from RNAcentral.